RNAcentral lists this ribosomal RNA (637 nucleotides) under uncultured organism. RNAcentral describes it as "bacterial SSU rRNA". It matches the Rfam family "Bacterial small subunit ribosomal RNA", at positions 850 to 1488 of the family's 1533-position model. The record is from RNAcentral.
AGCUAACGCGAUAAGCAUCCCGCCUGAGGAGUACGGCCGCAAGGCUAAAACUCAAAGGAAUUGACGGGGACCCGCACAAGCAGCGGAGCGUGUGGUUUAAUUCGAUGCUACACGCAGAACCUUACCUGGGUUUGACAUAUAGGUUGUAGUGAAGUGAAAAGGGAGCGACCAUUCGGGGAGCCUAUACAGGUGUUGCAUGGCUGUCGUCAGCUCGUGUCGUGAGAUGUUGGGUUAAGUCCGGUAACGAGCGCAACCCUUGUCGUAAGUUACAAGUGUCAUAGGAGACUGCCGGUGACAAACCGGAGGAAGGUGGGGAUGACGUCAAGUCAGCAUGACCAUUAUAUCCAGGGCGACACACACGCUACAAUGGUCGGUACAAUGGGCAGCCAAGCCGCGAGGCGGAGCCGAAUCCCGACAAAACGCGAUCACAGUAGAGGACUACUCGUCUGAAACCGCGCUGUGCAAGAACCGGAGGAUGGUGAGAGUCACCGCGGUGUCAGCUAUAGCGCGGUAGAUAUUGUUCGGGUGUUGUAGACACACCCCCUCUCAUCUUAUGAGAUGUCGACACGCGAGAUCCCUAUCGUCACACUCACCGGAGACGCCGUCUAAGGCGGGAUCGGUGACUGGGACGAAGUCG